This 73-nucleotide transfer RNA is filed under the name Candidatus Wallbacteria bacterium HGW-Wallbacteria-1. RNAcentral's name for it is "tRNA-Cys". It matches the Rfam family "tRNA". Rfam says of the family: Transfer RNA (tRNA) molecules are approximately 80 nucleotides in length. Lineage: Bacteria; Candidatus Walliibacteriota. The record is from RNAcentral.
GGCGCGGUCGCCAAGUUGGUAAGGCAGAGGUCUGCAAAACCUUCAUCCGUCGGUUCGAAUCCGAUCCGCGCCU